AUGGCACCGAAGAGGGAGCUGGUCUUGGCCAGCGCCCGGGGCUCGGAGGCGAAGCGCCUGUGCGUGGGGGUCCCUGGAGCUGCCUGCGCCGGCGGCAGCGAGAGCGAGCGGUCGGUGCCGGCGUCGCCGGGAAAGCGGCUGCUGCGGCAGACAGUGUUCGUCGUGCUCUUUCUUGUGCGAAUGAGCGAAAAGAUCACGGUGACGGAAAGUAUGUCGCACAUUGGACGCAUGGUGAGCACAGAUCAAAUAUAA
This 252-nucleotide ribosomal RNA is filed under the name Triticum aestivum (bread wheat). Its description in RNAcentral is "partial small subunit ribosomal RNA". Lineage: Eukaryota; Viridiplantae; Streptophyta; Magnoliopsida; Poales; Poaceae. The record is from RNAcentral.